RNAcentral lists this transfer RNA (74 nucleotides) under Nitratifractor salsuginis DSM 16511. It matches the Rfam family "tRNA". From Rfam's summary of the family: Transfer RNA (tRNA) molecules are approximately 80 nucleotides in length. Their secondary structure includes four short double-helical elements and three loops (D, anti-codon, and T loops). Lineage: Bacteria; Pseudomonadati; Campylobacterota; Epsilonproteobacteria; Campylobacterales; Sulfurovaceae. The record is from Rfam by way of RNAcentral.
GGGUCUUUAGCUCAGUUGGUUAGAGCUCCCGGCUCAUAACCGGGCGGUCCCGGGUUCGAGUCCCGGAGGACCCA